This 460-nucleotide ribosomal RNA is filed under the name uncultured bacterium. RNAcentral's name for it is "partial 16S ribosomal RNA". It matches the Rfam family "Bacterial small subunit ribosomal RNA", at positions 28 to 523 of the family's 1533-position model. The record is from RNAcentral.
GAUGGACGCUGGCGGCGUGCCUAAUACAUGCAAGUCGAGCGGCAGCACGGUCUUCGGACUGGUGGCGAGCGGCGGACGGCUGAGUAACGCGUAGGAACGUACCCCAAAGUGAGGGAUAAGCACCAGAAAUGGUGUCUAAUACCGCAUGUGCUCUACGGAGUAAAGCUUUUGCGCUUUGGGAGCGGCCUGCGCAUGAUUAGCUAGUUGGUGAGGUAAUAGCUCACCAAGGCGAUGAUCAUUAGCUGGUCUGAGAGGAUGAUCAGCCGGACUGGGACUGAGACACGGCCCAGACUCCUACGGGAGGCAGCAGUAGGGAAUUUUCCACAAUGGGCGAAAGCCUGAUGGAGCAACGCCGCGUGCAGGAUGAAGGCCUUCGGGUUGUAAACUGCUUUAUGUGAGACGAAUAUGACGGUAACACGUGAAUAAGGACCUGCUAACUACGUGCCAGCCGCCGCGGUAA